GCCUGUUUAGCUCAGUGGUAGAGCGCUAGUCUCGUAAACUAGCGGUCAUGAGUUCAAUCCUCAUAGCGGGCA
Transfer RNA from Daphnia magna, 72 nucleotides. It matches the Rfam family "tRNA". Rfam says of the family: Transfer RNA (tRNA) molecules are approximately 80 nucleotides in length. Their secondary structure includes four short double-helical elements and three loops (D, anti-codon, and T loops). Further hydrogen bonds mediate the characteristic L-shaped molecular structure. tRNAs have two regions of fundamental functional importance: the anti-codon, which is responsible for specific mRNA codon recognition, and the 3' end, to which the tRNAs corresponding amino acid is attached (by aminoacyl-tRNA synthetases). tRNAs cope with the degeneracy of the genetic code in two manners: having more than one tRNA (with a specific anti-codon) for a particular amino acid; and 'wobble' base-pairing, i.e. permitting non-standard base-pairing at the 3rd anti-codon position. The record is from Rfam. NCBI's taxonomy places the organism in Eukaryota, Metazoa, Arthropoda, Branchiopoda, Diplostraca, Daphniidae.